This 465-nucleotide ribosomal RNA is filed under the name uncultured bacterium. RNAcentral's name for it is "partial 16S ribosomal RNA". It matches the Rfam family "Bacterial small subunit ribosomal RNA", at positions 28 to 507 of the family's 1533-position model. The record is from RNAcentral.
GAUGAACGCUGGCGGCGUGCUUAACACAUGCAAGUCGAACGGAAAGGCUCCUACUUGCUUGGGGACUCGAGUGGCGAAAGGGUGAGAAACACGUGGAUGAUCUGCCCUGCACUUCGGGAUAAGCCUGGGAAACUGGGUCUACUACCGGAUAUGACGAUGGGUUGGAUGCGAUUGUGGAAGGUUUUGCGGUGUGGGAUGAGCUCGCGGCCUAUCAGCUUGUUGGUGGAGUAAUGGCCUACCAAGGCGUCGUCGGGUAGCCGGCCGGAGGGGUUGUACGGCCACACUGGCCCUGCGCUACCGCCCAGCCUCCUACGGGAGGCAGCAGCGGUGAGUGGUGCACAAUUGGCGCAAGCCUGAUGCGGCGACGCCGCGUUGGGGAUUACGGCCUUCUGGUUGUAACCACCUUUCGCUCUGGACGAAGCGCAAGUGACGGUACCGGGAGAAGAAGCACCGGCUAACUACGUG